GCCGUCCUCCCUGGAUCGUCCCGCACCAGUACGUGGAGCUCGACCUCCAGUCCGCCGCUGGCACCUCCCACAACGAGGUGGCGCCGUAGGCUCCGCCCCCACCUGACCCCGUCCGUGACACGUCUGUUGAUGUCACCAUCGUGUCAUUGACCCACCACAUGACCUCCCGCAGAGGGGAGUUUGAUCCCGUGAGCACGCAGACCAGCAGGGGAGGAGAUUCCGGUUGUAGAGACGACGGGACGGACGAUAAAAUCUGAACUGACGGACCAGAACCUGCAGCGGACAAAAUAACAAGAAUAUAUCGUUUCUUCAAUUCUCUCUCGCUUUGCUCACAAUGAGAACUUGAGUCACAGCACGUUGCUCGUUUGUCAACAGGGAACAAUUAUUGUUGGAAACUCAAUCAAGCCGAGACAUAAAACCACCACAGACAAGGAGACUAAAUAACCACAAAGAGACAAGACAACCAAAAGGAGACACAAGACAAACAAAAAGAGACACAAAAUAACCACAAAUAGACAUUUUGUUUUAUGCCUUCUCUUGACAAUUGUAACUGGUUCCAGUUGGUAAUCGGCUCAUUUUAUCUUGUAUGUUUCGGAGACGACCUGCUGUCUUGAUAUGACGAUGAUCAUCAUCUCCGUUAUAGUCGGCUCCUUCUUCACCAACGUCGACCAGCAGCUGAGUCCCGCCACUGAAAACCACGGAGAAGGAGACGGCGCGUCUGCCGGGCAGAGAGCAAACGCACCAACAUCUGCAGGAGGAAACGCACCGUGAGGACAAAGCGACGCUCACAGAGCAGCUUCUUCAGUUUCUCACCGCAGCAGGAAGAUGAAGCUCAGAGCCGUAUCCAUCCCAAAGGCCUCUAUCUCCAGCCGUUCAAGCUGCCGAGGAGGAAAUACACUGAAAUGAAAGUAGAAGUUUUAAAUUCUUUGGGUUUUUUUAAGUCCUCACAUCUCACUUAAGUUCAAAUAAAUGUCGUUUUUUUAAUCAUAUGUUUUCAUAAUAUUGAAAAACCAGCAUGAGCUUUAACAGACAAUUUUUACCUAAAACAAGAGUCCAUUUAACAUUGUUUGGAUUCUGAUUUAAAGUCAUCGCAAGGAUCGUUUUUAACGUCGAAUUAAAAGUAUUCGUACCUUUUUCUAAUAGUGGUCCUUGGAGCUGCGGCUGCAGUCAGUCUGAAGUCUGAUGAUCUUUGGGUCUGUAAAACAGAAAUAUGAAAACCGUUGAAGCAGAACACCGACAGCCUCCAGAGGAGGGACGCUGCUCUGGGAUCAGAUCGACCGUUGGUUCGCAGCUGGUGACAGAAAAACAGGACAUCUUCUCACUGUGGUUCCAACUGGCGUCCGAGAUAAGAUCCCCACACCAAAGAAACACAAUCGCUACAACACAUAGUGUUGGUCUGUGUAAAACUAGUAUGAUGAGAAUUGUUGUAACAUUCUUCUUUUGGUUUUUUAAUAUUAUUAUAGCAACAUGAAGAUCUUCUUACUGUCGACAUUGUGUUGAAUGAAUCUUUCUGUUGGAUUUCUCUCCAGGGAUUUGAUCCCAAAUACAACUUGACAAUAAGUGUUAAUAUAUAACUAUAUUGUUGAUGUAGUUUUUUAAAGCACUGAUAUUCCACUAUUGUAGAUAUGAUGUACAUGCGUGUUAGUGACGUAAAAAAGAGCAGGUUGUCUCCGGAUGAAACGGCGCCCCCUGUUUGUAACGUGGCGGCGGAGUGUCAACAAACAAAAUGGCGUCUCAGCAACACGUGCGCUGUCAUUAUCGGACCGAUGGAGAUGGUUUAAGGACCCUGAAAAAAAAGAGACCCAGCUUCACAUCCCAUUUGGGCCCUGCGCUUAACAACGUGCGACCACCGGCAGUGUCCUCCAAGAAGACCCGACCCGAACUCGGUACCAGGGUAGAACUUUGCCGGAAGAACUAGAGGCUAGCAUCAUUAAAGUUGACAUCGCUGCCCAGCUGCGACGCACACAGGACCGCGACAGUGAAAGUACAACAGACUGAAGAUCCAUCCGACUCGGAUGAAACCGCAUGGCGUCGUUUCUUCUUCUUCUACUCUCCUCCCCGGGUCACGGGGUCACGGCGCAGUAAUAAACUGCCGAGUCGCUCCAUGUGGCGUCGAGCAGCAGCAGCGAGCCGUCGGCUCCAGCGGAGACCUUCCCCGGGCCCACGGCGGCGCCGUACUUCACGUCGGAGGCGUUUGUGGACCUGAAGGCCAGCAGCAGCUCCGGGCGGCGUCCUGCCGCUGUCCGGUACCAGCUGAGGGUGGAGGAGGCGUUGGUGGAGGAGGCGUUGGUGGAGGCGUCCAGCAGGGGGCACCGCAGGGCGGCGUCCUCCCCGACCCUCACCCGCACGGGGGAGGCUGGCAACGCGGCGGCGGCGUGCGGCUCCCACCGGAAACCUGAGACACGUGUUUAUUUAUAAUCGUUUUCAUCCACACAGACAGAAUCAAUAUAACUAAAGUAGGUUGUAGUAGAACUAGUUCUGAGAAGAAAAAAAAAAUGCUUUUGAUUCCAAACAGUAAGAAAUUACAUUUGAAACAAAAGUAAUAAUAUAGCUUUUCAAGUUAAAACGAGAUGGAAAGUUGAUUUAAUUUCGUGCCGCUAAGUGGUGACUGACCAAUAGUUGCACCUCUGAAUAUUUGUUCCUCCAUUAAUCCUGAAUAUUUAAACAUGUAAAGUAUCGUUCAGGCGCUGCAUUUCUAAUCCUUCUUAAAGGAAGCUUUAAUUUGAAGGAACGUUCGGCAUAAAAUCCCUUCAAUUUGCCCAAAAUGAGUCUUCUACCUGUCAACAGUUGAUGCGUUUAGUCACCAGAUUAUGAAUCAGUUGCCUGAAGAUUAUAUUUCAAUAUCAAUUUAAGCAUAAAACUAAAUAUGUGUAUGCAGAGUUUAGACAUUAAUAAUAUAAACAAAACAACUCACUGCUGAAAGAGAGGAUCAGACCAACCAGCAGAGACUCCAUCACUGAGGAAGCUGCUAACUGAAAGACUUCAAUGACAAAGAUGUCCUCCGGUGGUGGAGACACUGAGACAAGAGCCGAUCACACAUCAGUCCCGCUCUGUUAUUGAUCCACACCAACAGCUACUUCCUGUUUACUUCCUGGUGUUGCAGUGAUGGUUGAGCGUGUGGGUCUAAAUCACCAGGGGGGUAAAUGUGACCAUGGAACACCUGCAGGAAGUUUAAGUAACCGCUUGUCUUUUAUAGAUGAGAAUAUUUUCGUUGUAAGAUUGAACUAGUUUAUAAUCCCAAACAGAUUUAAUAAUUAGUUCAAACUUUAGCUAUCAACUCGUUUAUGUCAGCAGAAAAUUAAAACCAUAAAUGAGUGCAGUCGGUAAAUAUAUGAAUUGAAUAUUAUAUUAGGAAUGUGGCAGGUAAAAGUACCCGUGCUACCCAACCAAACCCUGCCGGUGCCUUGGGGAGGAUUUACAGUGGGCAGACUGACCCGUAAACAGGCGUCAGAAAACACUUCCAAGGUUCUAGAACCUCGGGGACGGUCUCAUCUGAACCGCUAUAUUAAUAAUGUUAAUAUUAUUGUUACGAUCAUUAUAAUCACAUUAUUAUUUAUACUACUUAAACGUAUCAUUAUUUUAUAUUAUUAUCUCUGUUAGUAAUAUUUAUGCAUUAUUGCCUUUUUAUUUAUUAUUGUUAUUUAUGUUGUCAUUGUUGUUAUCAUGACAGUUGGACUCUAGGUGUGGCCCCGG
Gasterosteus aculeatus aculeatus (three-spined stickleback) is the source of this 3693-nucleotide long non-coding RNA. NCBI's taxonomy places the organism in Eukaryota, Metazoa, Chordata, Actinopteri, Perciformes, Gasterosteidae. The record is from Ensembl.